Molecule: transfer RNA, 85 nt
Filed under: Lepocinclis tripteris
Lineage: Eukaryota; Euglenozoa; Euglenophyceae; Euglenales; Phacaceae
Description: tRNA-Ser
Rfam family: tRNA
About the family: Transfer RNA (tRNA) molecules are approximately 80 nucleotides in length.
Source: RNAcentral
GGAGAAGUGUCUGAGUGGUCUAAAGAGCUCGAUUGCUAAUCGAGUGUAUUGAAAAAUACCAAGGGUUCAAAUCCCUUCUUUUCCG